UACGUAGGGUGCGAGCGUUAAUCGGAAUUACUGGGCGUAAGGCGGGCGAAGGGGGUUUUGAAAGCCAGAUGGGAAAUCCCCGGGCUUAACCUGGGAAUGGCAUUUGGGACUGCAAGGCUCGAGUGCGGCAGAGGAGACUGGAAUUCCUGGUGUAGCAGUGAAAUGCGUAGAUAUCAGGAGGAACACCAAUUGCGAAGGCAGCUCGCUGGGACGUUACUGACGCUGAGACGCGAAAGCGUGGGGAGCAAACAGG
Molecule: ribosomal RNA, 253 nt
Filed under: uncultured bacterium
Lineage: Bacteria
Description: partial 16S ribosomal RNA
Rfam family: Bacterial small subunit ribosomal RNA
Source: RNAcentral